This 253-nucleotide ribosomal RNA is filed under the name uncultured bacterium. Its description in RNAcentral is "partial 16S ribosomal RNA". It matches the Rfam family "Bacterial small subunit ribosomal RNA", at positions 524 to 776 of the family's 1533-position model. The record is from RNAcentral.
UACGGGGGGGGCAAGCGUUGUUCGGAAUUACUGGGCGUAAAGGGCUCGUAGGUGGCCAACUAAGUCAGACGUGAAAUCCCCAGGCUUAACCUGGGAACUGCGUCUGAUACUGGAUGGCUAGAGUUUGGGAGAGGGAUGCGGAAUUCCAGGUGUAGCGGUGAAAUGCGUAGAUAUCUGGAGGAACACCGGUGGCGAAGGCGGCAUCCUGGACCAACACUGACGCUGAGGAGCGAAAGCCAGGGGAGCAAACGGG